Long non-coding RNA from Suricata suricatta (meerkat), 428 nucleotides. RefSeq lists it as uncharacterized. The record is from RefSeq and is a predicted model, not a curated record. The transcript has 2 exons. NCBI's taxonomy places the organism in Eukaryota, Metazoa, Chordata, Mammalia, Carnivora, Herpestidae.
CCUCACCGCCACCGCCGGCCCGGCCUGAAGACGCCCGGCUCAACCUGCGCUCGGCACCGCCUCUUCCGUGUUUGGAGGCGUCAGCUGAGUCGGGCGGAUCCGGCUGCGGCGCCCCGGCAACGGGACAGCUUUGCGCAGCCGCCGAGACCGCGCGGGCCCUCGGCCGCCCCCUGAAGGCCAAAGGCGGUUGUGCCUGGCCGAUCGCGGUCACCGCCCUCCGCGUCUCCCGUGGGCUGUCUCAGCUUUGUGCUCCCGGCGUGAAUAAAACAACUGCAACCACGAAAACCAUCUGCGAGGUCUAAAGUCAAGCUUUCCUGUGACCUGUGAGACCAGUUUUUGCAUCCGUGGUGUAGCCAAGGCAACACAAACACACAGAACAUGGAUAGAACAAUGUGCCUCCAAGAAUAUAAAUGUUAACAUAGGUAAAA